GGAUACGGCCAUACUGCGCAGAAAGCACCGCUUCCCAUCCGAACAGCGAAGUUAAGCUGCGCCAGGCGGUGUUAGUACUGGGGUGGGCGACCACCCGGGAAUCCACCGUGCCGUAUUCU
Acanthamoeba castellanii str. Neff is the source of this 119-nucleotide ribosomal RNA. NCBI's taxonomy places the organism in Eukaryota, Discosea, Longamoebia, Acanthamoebidae. The record is from Rfam.